UACAGAGGGCGCAAGCGUUGUUCGGAUUCAUUGGGCGUAAAGGGUGCGUAGGCGGCGCGGUAAGUCGGGUGUGAAAUCUCGGAGCUUAACUCCGAAACUGCAUUCGAUACUGCCGUGCUUGAGGACUGGAGAGGAGACUGGAAUUUACGGUGUAGCGGUGAAAUGCGUAGAUAUCGUAAGGAAGACCAGUGGCGAAGGCGGGUCUCUGGACAGUUCCUGACGCUGAGGCACGAAGGCCAGGGGAGCAAACGGG
Molecule: ribosomal RNA, 253 nt
Filed under: uncultured bacterium
Lineage: Bacteria
Description: partial 16S ribosomal RNA
Rfam family: Bacterial small subunit ribosomal RNA
Source: RNAcentral